ACUCAAAUGAAUAGACGGGGGCCCGCACAAGCGGCGGAGCAUGUUGCUUAAUUCGAGGCAACGCGAAGAACCUUACCUGGGUUUGACAUUUAGGGAAAAGCCGUAGAGAUACGGUGUCCUUCGGGGCCCUAAACAGGUGGUGCAUGGCUGUCGUCAGCUCGUGUCGUGAGAUGUUGGGUUAAGUCCCGCAACGAGCGCAACCCUUGUCCUGUGUUACCAGCGCGUAAUGGCGGGGACUCGCAGGAGACUGCCGGGGUCAACUCGGAGGAAGGUGGGGAUGAGGUCAAGUCAUCAUGCCCCUUAUAUCCAGGGCUGCAAACAUGCUACAAUGGCUGGUACAACGGGCUGCGACACUGCGAAGUGAAGCGAAUCCCUUAAAGCCAGUCUCAGUUCGGAUUGGAGUCUGCAACUCGACUCCAUGAAGUCGGAGUCGCUAGUAAUCCCGGAUCAGCAACGCCGGGGUGAAUACGUUCCCGGGCCUUGUACACACCGCCCGU
RNAcentral lists this ribosomal RNA (497 nucleotides) under uncultured bacterium. Its description in RNAcentral is "partial 16S ribosomal RNA". It matches the Rfam family "Bacterial small subunit ribosomal RNA", at positions 899 to 1397 of the family's 1533-position model. The record is from RNAcentral.